UGACAAGCCCCUCCGCCUCCCCCUGCAGGAUGUCUACAAGAUUGGGGGGAUUGGCACUGUGCCAGUUGGGCGAGUUGAGACUGGUGUUUUGAAGCCUGCGAUGGUUGUUACCUUUGGCCCCACUGGUCUGACCACUGAAGUGAAGUCUGUUGAGAUGCACCACGAGGCACUUGUGGAGGCCCUACCUGGUGACAAUGUUGGCUUCAAUGUGAAGAAUGUUGCUGUUAAG
RNAcentral lists this unclassified non-coding RNA (229 nucleotides) under Hevea brasiliensis (rubber tree). The record is from RNAcentral. Lineage: Eukaryota; Viridiplantae; Streptophyta; Magnoliopsida; Malpighiales; Euphorbiaceae.